UGCUUCUCACAGUGACCGCCACAUAGCAGUCGCUCAACAAAUGCUGGCGGACGCUCUCACUGCAAACACGCAUUUUGAGCCUGUUGAUGUGUACCUCAGUGACCUUGGGGUCAGUCACUGCCACCUUGCAGAGAGCACACAGUGGGGCCAUAGGCGGCUCCCAUGCGUAUUUUAAGUGCAGUUUUGGCUGCACUGGUGUGGCUCCUGCUGGGAGUGGGGUGGCUAUGCUGUGGGCCGAGCGUCUCAUCUAGAGUUCAUGGCCGCGUCCCCAGGACUGAGCACACACCCGGCACACAGUAGGUCUAAUAAAUAUUUGUUGAAUAGAUGAAUUAAUAAGAUGCACGGGAAGCAUCUCUGGGGCUGUGAUUUUUAACCUUUCUGAACCACUGACAUCUUUGAAAAACCCAUGGACAAAUGCACCCAAAGUGUGACGUAUAAUUUCAGGGAUUUCUGGACCUUUCCAUCCCAAGGUCACCCAUAAAGCUCAGCUUAAGAUCUUUCUACCUGGGGGAGGGGGGCUUCCUGAGAUCCCGGGGAGACGUUGGCAAAGAUGUUACCAAGACGCACACUGGGGAGCCCAACCUGCCCCAACAGGCUGGCGAAGAACGGGGUGAACGAGCCCCUUAUCCUUUACUUUCCGCUCUCCAGGAGGAGGAAAGGAAGCGAGUAUGAGGCGAUCUGGCAGGAGGGGGAGAGAGCGGGAAUCACAGGGCCAGGAGGAGAGGGAAAAGAGAAGACGCGAGCAUCAGAGAGGAGAAGGGGCGUGAUGGAGAGGCUCGGCCCCUUGGAGAGAAGAGCAGGGCCAGCCGGGGGAACAAAGAGCGAGCGCGCAGCGAGCGAGGCGCGGCGGCGCCGGGAGGGAGAGGCCGAGGCCGGCCGGCCGCCCGGGCUGUCUGAUUUUCUGUCAGCCGCCGCUGAUUAACGGGCCGCCUUCCAGCUCCAAGUGCGCCGCGCCGCGUUCCUGGCAACCGGGCGCGCAGCUUCCUGGCGGAGGCGGGGCCUGCGGAAAGGUUACAUUUGCACAAAGUGCCUCGGCGCAGCCGGCCCGGAGGGGCUGCGGGGAGGGGAGCGGGCGGGGGGAGCGUGGCGGCUGGCGAGCCAGGCGGGGAGCGAGAAAAGGCUGCGGCGCUCGGUGCUGCCUGGGUAAUGGAAAAAUUCCUCUGGGGGCCGCGCAGAAAAAUAUCAGGUUACACGCCAGCAGCACACACGGCUUCUCCGAGGGAGCCUCCUGCUGCCGCCCGCCGCGGGGCCGCCGGGCCCGGGUGGAGGGGCGUGGGGGCCGGGCUCCCCGGGGCGCCCCUGCCCCUGCGCCCCAACUCGAGCGCCCUAGCCUGCGCGCCCCGGCCCCUGCACCCCCGCUCCAGCGCCCUAGCCUGUGCGCCCCGGCCCCUGCACCGCGGCUCCAGCGCCCUAGCCUGCGCACCCCGGCCCCUGCACCCCCGCUCCAGCGCCCUAGCCUGCGCGCCCCGGCCCCUGCACCCCCGCUCCAGCGCCCUAGCUGGUGCGCUGGAGCCUGUGCACCUCGGCCCGAGGGUCUUUAUUCUGCGCGCCCCAUCCAGUGCUCUCUGGGGCCUCGCCUUGCCUUCGCAGCUCCCUUCUCUGCCUCAGAAGGCAGGUGAAGGGACCCCGCUUUCCCAAAUCCUAGUGUCCGGGACUCCCCGCUGACCAUCCCCUCUCCCCAAGAAGGCCGUUGUAUGGCUGGAGCCAGGCCUUGCAGUGAGGGCGGACGGAUCGGUCGCGUUCGCCGUGACUUGGGAAGGGUGGCUGCCACUGGCGUCUGUUCCCGCCUUCCCUCGUGGCUCGCCGGGUCUGCCGAGCUCUGAAGGACUGGACUGUUGCCUCUGGCACCCAAUUACGUGGUGUAAGCCGUGUCCCUCCGCCCCUCCGCAUUGAGUCACUCCCCUGCUCCCAGACCAUCUGCGGCUCCCUAUUACCGCCUCUACAUUCUAGUUUACACCCUCGGGUCCUGUCCAGUAUCUCGAGUGGAGUGUGAUGUCAAAACGCUCCAGCACCUGCGCACCUGCGGUGCCCCUGUCUGUUUGGGGCUGGAGGUUGAAGGGCUUCUGACCAGACACCAUCUGCCCUGUGAGCACCCCCCCCACCCCCAGCCCCUCACUGCCUCCCCCUCUCCUUCUAUCUCCCUCUCUCUCUCAUUGAACUGGUUCUGUCAAUAGACACUGUACUCAGUCGAUUCCAACUAGACAUGACCGGGCCCUGGGCCCUGGAGGGCGCCCGAGCUGAGCGGGGAGUAGCCCCUGCUCUCAGGGAACUCAAGCCCUGGCGGGCAGAGUGGAAGCUGGGUCCAGCAGAUUUGCGUUUAGGGUUAACUUCUGUUCUUCUGCUUCCCGGCUGUGUGCGUCCUUGGGCAAGUUACUCCCUGAACCUCGGUUUGCCCAGCUGUCGGAUGGGGACAGACUAGCAGUAAGAGCCUCUUCUUGGGGCUUGGCUGGACCCAUUUAAGGAGACAAGGCCGGCAGCUUUGGCACAAUGCAGAGUGGUGCUCUCUCGAUGGGACAUUUUAUUACUAUUUGGGCCAUAAAGAAGUCCACAAGUAACUGGAGCGCUGGGCACAGCAAGAGAGUGUCUCAGCUGAAGACGCCUAAGUAAGCCAAGGGCUCAGAAGGCAGGAUGACUUGGGGGGCUGGUGGGGGGCCAUGACACUUCAGGGGCCACGCGUCUGAAGGCCCAGCGCAUGGCUUCCCUAAGGCACACACACACGUGGACCCACCAAGGUCAGGGCUGCAGCUGUCCUUUAACUGGGCCAGGGGGAGCCUGGCCGUUUGGGUCAGGGGGCUGGCACCCCGGAGGGCACCCUCCACCCUCCACCUGGCUGGAGCACAGUUUUCUCUGAACCAGCAAAGCAGCAGGCAGGACCUGCUGCUGCGUCCCCAGGAGGGCUGGCCUCUGUGGGGACAGCAGGGACAGACCAAGGGGAGAGACAGACCAGGGUGGGAGGGAGGGAGGCCUGGCAUGCAGGUCCCCUCCAGAGACGAAUCAGGUCCUUGCAGAAGCUUUGUGCCCAUGGGGUCCUGGGCAUCUCAGAAAAUGGUCCAAGGGCAAGGGGGAAAGGGAUGGGGGUCCAGAGCAUCCUAUUCAUUGCUGCCUUGGUGUCACUACCUGGGGACUCAAGAACUGGUCUGCAGUCAAAGGGAGUUCUGGCUCAGGCUCUGAGCCGGUGACUGGAUCCAGGCCAGAGUGGGUGCCUUGACCGCAGGACCCCUCAGCCAACCACAAAGUGACAGUUGGCAUUGACCGAGCGCUUAGCACGUGCCGUGAGCUUGCAGGUAUGGUCUCCCAGCAAUCCUAGGAAGUAGGUGUCUGUUAAGUUCAUUUUUUACAGUUGAGGAGACUGAAGGUCAGAGAGCUUAAGCUGCUUCAUGUACUUAGCCAUCCGUGAAGCUGGAACCCAGAGCCAGCUUUGCCGGACAACAAGCUCCAAACCCUUAACUAAGUGCCCCGAGCCACCUCCGUGGUGGACCAAGAAACCAGCAACAAGGGGUGUGUUGGGGUGGAAACCCCGCUCGAGCUGACAGGCUGCCUCUGGCAAUGCACCCAUUUCACAGAUGGGCUGGCAGGCUUUGCUUCAGUGACUUGCCCAAGGCCACACUGCCAAGGAGUGGAGUCCAUUAAAAAAGGGAAACCUUAGCGUGUGGGAGCUGGAAGGGGUCUCUGAGCGCUUCCUGUCCACAGCUCAUUUCCAGACAGAGAAACCGUGGCCCAGAGAGGGCAGGGCCUGGCCCUGGCUGGAGCUCUUUCUCCAUCAUCUCGGGCCAUAGGUCUCUCCCCAGGGAACUGCUGACCCUUAACCUGUGAGUUCUGUGGAGCAUUUGAGAGGAAAUGGAAGGCAGACUGGGGAGAACGGCAAUUAAAUACGAGUGUCCAGGUGCUCAUCCAGAGGCCAGUGAGGACUCCGUGACCGGCCACCAAAUUUCCUGCUGGGCUUCCCGGAGGAGGGCGGAGGGAGAGGAGUAGAGGUGGGCGAGGGGGAGAAUGCAGCCGAAGUUGGUCCAGCUCACAGCCUUUCUGCUGGGUCCUCCCAAGUCCCAGAGCUGACUUGCCCCCCACCCCGGCCCCAUGGCGGGCAUAGUAGGGGCAGGGCGGGGGACUGAGGGGUUCUGGGGCUCCUCUUACUGCCCCAGCCCGGCAGGAGUCCCUUGAUAACCAGGAGGGAAACUUCCUGCGCCCUUCCCCUCCAUUCUCUCCACUCCCCUCCUCCCCUCCUCCAACCAAGAGGGGUGCUUGGCAGAAGCCCCUGAAGCCACAGCUCCUCGGUUUUGCACCUGAAAAAUGGGGGUGCUGCUCCCCUCUCUAGGUCCUUCAGGGCAAGAAGCUGGGAGGCCAGCAGUGUGUGAUCCUAACACUGAGACGGAGCCUGCGGUUCUGAGUCAGCGAGUCUAACCUGCGCUCACUCCUCCCGCCGAGAUUUAUCAGGCUCCUGGUGCUGUGGGCAGCCCUCCGCUGGGGACCCGGUGCCAGGUGGCAGUGGAGCAGAGAGACCCGGGGCUACCCUCAUGGACCUCCCCGUCCCAAAGUCCAGUUCCCAGUCUAAGGGUCAAAUGUCAUGAGUCUAAGACAGGCUUAUUCGCACAAGAGUGGUUCUAACAGACCCAAGAUGUUUCUGGAAGGAGGAAGGAGGAAGGAGGGAAGACAGGGUGUGGAGAAAGGCGGGGUCAGGCAGGGUGCUCAUUUUCAUGUACGUUUUCAGUGAAUUUAGUCUUCUAGGAUCCUCACAUCUAUGAACACGAACGCCUUAAAUACCACGGCUGAUAGAAUAAUAGCACUUGUCUCUUGCAGCGGGCCCUCCACCCGGGCAUCUCAAACGCUCUGUGAACAUUAAUUAAUUAAGCCCCAAUUAAAUAGUUAUCAGUGCCUGAAAAUACAUUUACUGCACACGUUCGACUGGCUCCUGGUUUCCUGAUUGUUACUCACCCCUGCUGUCAUCACUGUGGAAAUAGAUGAACGAGGGCGUUUCAAGACGGGGUUCCUCUCUGCCGGGGCGCACAGAGCUGCUGGGGGACUGUCUGCUGGGGACAUGGGUUCCAAGGGCACAGAAUGGGCCCCCAGGUCUUGUCCGUUGUCUGUCCUCUUGCUUCCUUCCAUGCUGGGAGCUUCCUGGGAUGGACCGUGCAUACCAGACUCUUCCAGAAGAAAAGUUCUAGGUCAGCAGCGGCCUGUUUCCCACUCCCGCGGUGUAGGUCUUUCCCUUUCCGCUUCUCGUUUGAAGAGCAAGUGGGUCCCUGAGGUUGCUUUAAACUCCCAGUUCAGCCAUCCUCUGGGGUGUCCUGUCCAGUGGUUUCAGGCACCUCUUCUCUGGCUUCUCCCAGAGGACAUUUUUCCCUGGAGGAAGCGCUGCUUGGCCAAGUCCUGUGCUGGCAUCGGGGUGGGGAUGAAGGAGAUGUCCCAUAUACAGCGCAAGGACCUGCUGUGUGUCGGGCAGGGCUGAACCUCAGUGACGGGGGCAGUCCUCAUUUCCCUGGGACACUGCGGACCUGGGCGUGGGUGCCUGGCAUGGAGUCUGAGAUCCUCUGGCCGUCCUAGUGCAGAACAGCAGGCAGGAGCAGAAGCCCCCACUCCAGGAUUGGGAUGAGGCAGCGCAAAGAAAGGGAGACGUAAACAGGACCAACUGGGAGUGAGGGACCCCACAGAGGCAUCUGAGGAGCAGAGAGAGAAGGCGAGUUUGUUUUUCACGGUGGCCACGGCCAUGGGUGUGGAAUUUUGAAGAGAAUGCAUGUACAGAGGAGUCCAGGGACCGUGUGAGAAUGCUGUGCCACGCCUACCUUCUUUCUUGGGGCUUCCAUUUCUUGAAAUUGACUGGGACAUGUGGUACCUCUGCUGGUACUUGGGUUCCCAAUACAGCUGAAUUUGCUUAGGAAAAAAGGAGAGCCUAUGAGCUCACAUGUGAAAGCAAACAGUGAGAAGAGCAGGAAUGGAGCAGACCUCUGUGAGGACUGGGACAUGGGACUCAGGCUCUUCCAGAUUCCAGCUGUUCCUGCCUGCCUCUUUCUGCCUCUGAGGAACGGCUCAGCCUCAUUCCUCUCCACUGCUGUGGGGAGGCGAGCGGGAUGAUUUGCAAAAUACUGAUUCAUUUUCUUUAAUAGUCAUUGACUUAUUUAGUUUUUUUCUUCUUCUUGAGUAAACUUUGAUCAUCAAUAUUUUUCUAGAAAUCCUCAAUUUCAUAUAUUUUCAUAUAUAGUAGCAUAAAGUUGGUCCUGGGAUUCUCUUAUAAUUCUUAAAACUUCUACUGUAUCUGUAGUUUCAUCUUCCUUUCAUUUUUAAUAUUAGAUAUUUAUGCCUUUAUUCUUCUUUUCCUUCAUUAAUCUUGCUAGAUGUUUGUCUAUCUUAUUGUCUCUUCAAAGAAACAGCUUUUGGCUUUGUUGACCAUUUUUGUGAUUGUUGAUUUCCUUUUCAUUUCUGCUCUUAUCUUUAUUGUUUACUUCUUUCCACUGUUUUUUUUAAAAGCGUCUUUAGUUAGUCAGAGCUCUACUCAUGAAUGUUUAAAUCAUUCUUGUUUUAGAGUAAAGGCACUUAAGACUACAUAUUUCUCGAUAAAUGUCAUUUUAGUUCCAUUCUACAAAUUUUAUUUUGCAUUUAUCCUCAGUACCACAUAUUUUGUAAUUCCCACUGUGAUUUCUGUCUGUGUCUUUGAGGGGGCUCAGGAAAUCACUUCCCUUUCCUCCCCUGGAUUCUGAACUGAGAUGAGAUGAAGAGUGGGGGCCCGGGAUCAUCUUUUGUUUAUUUUUAACUGAUAAAGACAAGGUUGGAGGAUGAGGGUGGAUGUGACAGGCAAGUGGGCUCCCUAAUACUGAAAAUGGGGACGUGGCAGCCUCCACCCCAGUCCCUGUGAUGCUGUGGGAGGUGGGUGGGGAACAGAGAAGGACCGCUGCCUGCAGGCAGCUCACUCCAGCCUUGGUAAGUCAGGCAAGGCCAUUUUAUCCCCCCACCCCCACCCCCACCCCCGCGAGGGACCAAUCGGCCAAGUCACUCUCUUCCUCUUUGGAUCCGAGGAUGCAAAAGGGAGAAAGACUGGGAGUGUUACUCUAAUUCAGCUCCCUCCACGUGGAUGGAAACAUCAGGACUAGGACAGAAAUGUUCCUACAACAAUUUCCUCUUGGACCUAUGAGUCACUGAGGAGUGUGCUUUUUAAUUGUCAAAGAUGUAACUGUUGCUGGUUUUAAUCUGCCUUGGUAAUCGUCGUCGACGUCUAAUUUUGCUGCAUGGUGGGUAGAGGAUGUGGUCUGCUUUACCUCAACUCUGACGUUUGUUUAGGCUUUCACAUAUGACCUGACACAAGGGCGGUUUUUAUAAAUGUUCCACAUGUGCCUGACGGUCAUGCGCUGUAUCGGUUUGCCAGGGCCGCCGUAACAAAGCACCACCGAGCGGGCGCUUAAACCACAGAGGUUUAUUUUCUCGCGGGUCUGGAGGCUGGAAGUCCCAGACCGGCGCGUGGUGGGCAGGGGUGGUUUCUGCAGAGCCUCUCUCCGUGGCUUGCAGACCACUGCCUUCUUGCUGCGUCCUCCCAGGGCCCCUCCUCUGUGUGGCACCCUGGUGACUCUUGGGGUGUCCAAAUUUCCUCUUCUUGGGAUCGGCUUAGGGCUCACCCGAAAGGCCGCCUUUUAACUUAACCACCUCUUUAAAGGCUGCUUCUCCAAACUCAGUCACCCUCUGAGGUCCUGGGGGCUAGGGCUUCAGCAUGGGAAUUUUGGGAGGAACACAGGUGUGUCUUCCUUGUCGGAGCAGCUCAUCUCAGCUCGGACCAGCCCCGUCUCCACUGCUCAGGAGCCACAUGUGGCCUGCGGCUGCUCCAUUACCACGUGUCUGAAGUUAUGGGUACCUCUGUCCUCAGCAGGAGACAAGCACUGGAACAUUCAGUAUCCUCUGUAUUCCCCUCCCCACUUCCUUGUUCUUUUUUAAUAUCAGUUUUAUCAAUAUCUAAUUUACAUAUAAUACACGUACAAUUUCGAUGAGUUUUGAUAAGUGAAUAUAUCCAUGUAAACAUCACCGAAAAGAAGAUAGCAAACAGCUGAUUUUUUGCUCUCUUUCACUUUAGAUUAAUUUUGCCUUUCCCCAGAUUUCACAUAAAUGGACUUACACAGGA
This is a long non-coding RNA of Equus caballus (horse), 8095 nucleotides long. RefSeq lists it as uncharacterized. NCBI's taxonomy places the organism in Eukaryota, Metazoa, Chordata, Mammalia, Perissodactyla, Equidae. The record is from RefSeq and is a predicted model, not a curated record.